Long non-coding RNA from Aethalodelphis obliquidens (Pacific white-sided dolphin), 450 nucleotides. RefSeq lists it as uncharacterized. Lineage: Eukaryota; Metazoa; Chordata; Mammalia; Artiodactyla; Delphinidae. The record is from RefSeq and is a predicted model, not a curated record. The transcript has 3 exons.
GUACGUGAAGACUGCAGGGGUCAGCAAGAAGGCGGCAUUGCAGAUGAGAGGUGCGGGCAGCGUCCGGAGAAGAGGCAAAGAGAGAAGAAGAGCGGGAGAGAAUCCAGUCAGCGUGCGCGCCAGCUGAGAAUCUUCAGGUUCACAACGAAGCCCGCCUGCCAAAUUUUCCACCCAAAGUGACCAGAUCCUGAGUUCCAGCCUCAUAGCUGGCAGAAGAGGCAAAAUCCAGCCAGCAACUCUUCUGGGUAGAGGCGAGAGACUGUUCUGGGGCCGGAUCCAAAUCCCAGCAAGGAUCGGGAAGCUGAGGUCCUAUCUGGGCCUCAGUUUCUACCAGGAGCCAGACAUGACAUUUGCCUGGAAAAGGAUAAGAGUCCCCGGGCUACCUCGCUCACCAUUCAGAUCCUCAUUCCGGACAGUCCAGGGCUCGGCAGAGUCAAAGUGGGUGUCCCC